Molecule: long non-coding RNA, 424 nt
Organism: Sycon ciliatum
Lineage: Eukaryota; Metazoa; Porifera; Calcarea; Leucosolenida; Sycettidae
Exons: 3
Source: RefSeq, a predicted model, not a curated record
CCGGCAAAUCCACAGCGCCAUCUGAUCGAACCUAAAUCAAGUACCAAUCCGUCGAUUUCCUCGCUGCUAUCCGCCAUCGCCGGUGCUGGUGCUCACCAGUUCACUCCUCGGCCGCUUUCGGACAAACUAACAGUCAACCAACUUGGCAGCACGGACAAUGGCGUUCUCUAGACCGAACUCGGUUACGAAAGGCGACAGCUCAAGCAAGCGCUUGAUCUGGAUGGUGGAGUAGACUUGAGCAACCUGCACACAAGGCAAAGACACGAUGUCAAGAAGACUCGGUGAACACAAGAGACUGGCAACACGUCCAGAUCUGUUUGACUCUCAGUCAGUAGCUACAUGAUGGCACCUGCUCAGCUGGUUCGCCACGGACACCAGGCACCCAGACACUCCGCACAACAAGACAAGACGACAAAACCGGAAC